This 2488-nucleotide ribosomal RNA is filed under the name Salmonella enterica. RNAcentral's name for it is "bacterial LSU rRNA". It matches the Rfam family "Bacterial large subunit ribosomal RNA", at positions 454 to 2823 of the family's 2925-position model. Lineage: Bacteria; Pseudomonadati; Pseudomonadota; Gammaproteobacteria; Enterobacterales; Enterobacteriaceae. The record is from RNAcentral.
CAUCCUCCAAGGCUAAAUACUCCUGACUGACCGAUAGUGAACCAGUACCGUGAGGGAAAGGCGAAAAGAACCCCGGCGAGGGGAGUGAAAAAGAACCUGAAACCGUGUACGUACAAGCAGUGGGAGCCCCACCACCAAAGCAUUCUCUGGUGUUGAAGGCCCUGCAAAGCAGCAUCGCGGUGGCGGAGCGUCGUUUGCGACGCCCAACACACAAAACAAGCGGUGAGUGCUUUGGGGUGGGGUGACUGCGUACCUUUUGUAUAAUGGGUCAGCGACUUAUAUUCUGUAGCAAGGUUAACCGUAUAGGGGAGCCGCAGGGAAACCGAGUCUUAACCGGGCGUUAAGUUGCAGGGUAUAGACCCGAAACCCGGUGAUCUAGCCAUGGGCAGGUUGAAGGUUGGGUAACACUAACUGGAGGACCGAACCGACUAAUGUUGAAAAAUUAGCGGAUGACCUGUGGCUGGGGGUGAAAGGCCAAUCAAACCGGGAGAUAGCUGGUUCUCCCCGAAAGCUAUUUAGGUAGCGCCUCGUGAAUUCAUCUCCGGGGGUAGAGCACUGUUUCGGCUAGGGGGUCAUCCCGACUUACCAACCCGAUGCAAACUGCGAAUACCGGAGAAUGUUAUCACGGGAGACACACGGCGGGUGCUAACGUCCGUCGUGAAGAGGGAAACAACCCAGACCGCCAGCUAAGGUCCCAAAGUCAUGGUUAAGUGGGAAACGAUGUGGGAAGGCCCAGACAGCCAGGAUGUUGGCUUAGAAGCAGCCAUCAUUUAAAGAAAGCGUAAUAGCUCACUGGUCGAGUCGGCCUGCGCGGAAGAUGUAACGGGGCUAAACCAUGCACCGAAGCUGCGGCAGCGACGCUGAUGCGUUGUUGGGUAGGGGAGCGUUCUGUAAGCCUGUGAAGGUGGCCUGUGAGGGUUGCUGGAGGUAUCAGAAGUGCGAAUGCUGACAUAAGUAACGAUAAAGCGGGUGAAAAGCCCGCUCGCCGGAAGACCAAGGGUUCCUGUCCAACGUUAAUCGGGGCAGGGUGAGUCGACCCCUAAGGCGAGGCCGAAAGGCGUAGUCGAUGGGAAACGGGUUAAUAUUCCCGUACUUGGUGUUACUGCGAAGGGGGGACGGAGAAGGCUAUGUUGGCCGGGCGACGGUUGUCCCGGUUUAAGCGUGUAGGUGUGUGUUCCAGGUAAAUCCGGUUCACUUUAAAACUGAGGCGUGAUGACGAGGCACUACGGUGCUGAAGCAACAAAUGCCCUGCUUCCAGGAAAAGCCUCUAAGCAUCAGGUAACAUCAAAUCGUACCCCAAACCGACACAGGUGGUCAGGUAGAGAAUACCAAGGCGCUUGAGAGAACUCGGGUGAAGGAACUAGGCAAAAUGGUGCCGUAACUUCGGGAGAAGGCACGCUGACACGUAGGUGAAGUGAUUUACUCAUGGAGCUGAAGUCAGUCGAAGAUACCAGCUGGCUGCAACUGUUUAUUAAAAACACAGCACUGUGCAAACACGAAAGUGGACGUAUACGGUGUGACGCCUGCCCGGUGCCGGAAGGUUAAUUGAUGGGGUCAGCGCAAGCGAAGCUCCUGAUCGAAGCCCCGGUAAACGGCGGCCGUAACUAUAACGGUCCUAAGGUAGCGAAAUUCCUUGUCGGGUAAGUUCCGACCUGCACGAAUGGCGUAAUGAUGGCCAGGCUGUCUCCACCCGAGACUCAGUGAAAUUGAACUCGCUGUGAAGAUGCAGUGUACCCGCGGCAAGACGGAAAGACCCCGUGAACCUUUACUAUAGCUUGACACUGAACAUUGAGCCUUGAUGUGUAGGAUAGGUGGGAGGCUUUGAAGUGUGGACGCCAGUCUGCAUGGAGCCGACCUUGAAAUACCACCCUUUAAUGUUUGAUGUUCUAACGUGGACCCGUAAUCCGGGUUGCGGACAGUGUCUGGUGGGUAGUUUGACUGGGGCGGUCUCCUCCUAAAGAGUAACGGAGGAGCACGAAGGUUGGCUAAUCCUGGUCGGACAUCAGGAGGUUAGUGCAAUGGCAUAAGCCAGCUUGACUGCGAGCGUGACGGCGCGAGCAGGUGCGAAAGCAGGUCAUAGUGAUCCGGUGGUUCUGAAUGGAAGGGCCAUCGCUCAACGGAUAAAAGGUACUCCGGGGAUAACAGGCUGAUACCGCCCAAGAGUUCAUAUCGACGGCGGUGUUUGGCACCUCGAUGUCGGCUCAUCACAUCCUGGGGCUGAAGUAGGUCCCAAGGGUAUGGCUGUUCGCCAUUUAAAGUGGUACGCGAGCUGGGUUUAGAACGUCGUGAGACAGUUCGGUCCCUAUCUGCCGUGGGCGCUGGAGAACUGAGGGGGGCUGCUCCUAGUACGAGAGGACCGGAGUGGACGCAUCACUGGUGUUCGGGUUGUCAUGCCAAUGGCACUGCCCGGUAGCUAAAUGCGGAAGAGAUAAGUGCUGAAAGCAUCUAAGCACGAAACUUGCCCCGAGAUGAGUUCUCCCUGAGACUU